RNAcentral lists this ribosomal RNA (253 nucleotides) under uncultured bacterium. RNAcentral describes it as "partial 16S ribosomal RNA". It matches the Rfam family "Bacterial small subunit ribosomal RNA", at positions 524 to 776 of the family's 1533-position model. The record is from RNAcentral.
UACGUAGGUGGCAAGCGUUGUCCGGAUUUAUUGGGUUUAAAGGGUGCGUAGGCGGCUUUGUAAGUCAGUGGUGAAAUAUGGCAGCUCAACUGUCAAGGUGCCAUUGAUACUGCGGAGCUUGAGUACAGAUGAGGUAGGCGGAAUUGACGGUGUAGCGGUGAAAUGCUUAGAUAUCGUCAAGAACACCUAUAGCGAGGGCAGCUUACUAGGCUGUAACUGACGCUGAGGCACGAAAGCUAGGGGAGCAAACGGG